CAGUGUUAGAGUUCAUUCACACGUUAAGAUGAAAAUAAUAACACGUUUUACGUUCCUAACUUUGCUGGUAGAUGUGUGGUUGCUCGGUCGGCCAGCUUCGGAAUAAAAGAAUAUUUUUAUUCAUCAGAAUCGUAAACAUCGAGUCAUUCAUUUUCAUACCAUAGUCAGUGCGAUUCAAAGAUGGCCGUAUAAUGUUUGUGCUCUGCAAGUGAUAGCGUGGAAAAGUGCAAGUUAAAAAGUGAAAUUCUGGCUUCAAACGUGUGCUGAAGAUCUUGAUAGGUUGAUGUGACUCCAAUCUGAACGGUAUAAAACUAUUUGCAAGACAUAUUGUUGCUAUUGAACUUGAAUUUUAUGGCAGUGUGCUUGACGAGAAUCACAUUGUUGUGAAAUAGUUGAACUUGAUAACGUGAAUAAUAGUGCUUAGAAUUAUUCUUGUUGGAUUAAUUGAAAAAUUGUGUGUAAUAAGAUUUGUUUAAGCGAGAAUAGACUGUAUACUCGCUAGCUGAAGUGUUUUACUGCGGGGCAUCCCCUUGGGAUCUGGGGAGCCAUAUUUGAAAAUAAUAACAAAGAAAAUCAUCUGUUUUCCACCCCGGACAAGUUUGAACGUGAAACGUAGAGUAGAUGAUAUAAUCGCUUUACUUUUUUCAUCAUCAUCUAAGUGGGUGUUCUACACAGGGUAAGUAUGUAUAACUAGUUGGUAGUACACUACAUAUUACUAAUAUUCGAAUACAAAUUCCCGUCCUGGGAAAAAUAUAUUGUUCCAUCUGGUUCAGCAGGAAAACAUGCGAUAUUUGUAUAUCUGGUUCGUAAACAUACCAAUACUGAUGACCGCACUUCAGUGUUUUUGAGUAGGGUAGGAAAUGGCUUGUGACUUGUGUGGCGAUCAAAACAUGCGGUUGAUAUCCCCGAGGUUUCCUCUGUGCUCUGGUGUCGGGGGUAAGAUGGGCGGAAUGUUUUGGUUCUUUAUUGAUUGCAUUACUGAUGCUAGAACCUGGGGGAGACGCUAUUGAUCUUUGUGCAGCAACGACUGUGGUAGUGCAGAUGGAAUAUACAUCAUUUCGUCGAUUGGUCUGCGUAGGACAGUGAUAAGUAUUGUGCGCUACGAUUAGUAGGAAUGUUUUGAAGUUUUUUCGCCAACCUACACACUUAGUUUUGUUUUCGCCAACUCGGCAAUUUUUGACGGGAUUUGCACAGAACAUUGCAAUAUAUUUUACUGAGAUCUCAGCAAACACGACGUUUGCUUGCUGAAAUUCAGCAAAAUUUAUUCCGAGAUUCAGUAAUCAAACUUCACUUUCGCUGAGAUCCCGGUGUAAAUCGUGGGGAGAAUUGUCGAGAUUCGGUUAACACAAUUAAGCGUGUUUUAGAUGAGCGAAGCUACACUCUAAAAGAAAAAAAAAAAGUAAAUUUAGACUUAUUUUUAUACAAAAUCCAGCCUCGCUGGUUUCACUCAUUCGAUGCAUAAAAUUGGAAUAUACUUUUUUCAGUUAUUUUGACAGGUAACCGUAUAUUUUGUGCAUAAUAACCAAAAAAAAAAAAUGCGUUUUAAGAGUAUUCAUAAGCUCAUGGGGAGUUUUUGUCAAACUUUUGAUUUAUUUUAAAGAUUUUAAAUCAAAGCACUUUUAUUUGGUUACUAUCGAGCAUAUCGAAAUUCAGUGAUUCAUCUGGUAUAUUCAUAUAAUUUAGUAAAUGAAUAAAAUUAGCCAUUUUUAAAAUAUGUAACAUUUGACAAAAUGCAUACAAUGAACUUAAACAUACUCACAUUUUUUUGCACCUUGGAACAAAUCAAUUUAAUUUCACGGAAUCUUUCCAUACCUCAAAGACAUUCAAGAUAUUUGGUGGGCAUUUUUUAUUACAAAAUAAGACAAUCCGUUCCAAGUGAUAGUUCAGCUCUAAGUGAUGUAGUAGACACUUAAAAAACUAAAGUUAAUUUAGACAGGCUGAUCAUAAAAAGUAUUUAAAAAUGCAUAUGCAUAGCGAUGUUUAAAUAAAGUUUAGUCAAAGCUGGCAUAGAAAAUACCCUAUUUACAACUUUCAUUAUUUCUGAGUGUAGUAUGAAUACUUUUUGCCCACAUUAGUAUGAUGAGGUGUCUUCUGAUUAUAGAGAUUGCUGACGUUUAUCGUACGCACACUACGUCACGUAUACUUAUACGCAAAAAUAUUUUUAUCAGGAAAAAAAAAACUUCAUAGCGGAACAUUUUUCUGAUGAAAACAGAUUACUGACACAAUCACACCUAAGCAAUCUCUAUGAUAAACUGAAAAUUUCCGAUAACCUAUAUUUGGUAGUGAACACCGAUUGAGACUGAGAAAAUUUGAUUAUUGGCUCGAUACAGGGAUGGAUCGCUCUUUUGCGACUUUUUCAUUACUUUUUAAUAAAAAAUGCUUGCGUUAAAUCCAAUUGAAUUUUCAGUUUUCCCAUCUUAAAAUAUAUAGAUUAGUGCUAUUAAUCUCCCUAUCGAAAUUCAAAAUUUCCGCACCGCAGAACCACACUCUGCGUUUUCACUAAAGGAGCACUUGAGAGCGCUCUCGAAGGUGCUGUGAAUACACAGAGCGUGGCUCUACGGUGCGAAAAUUUUGUAUUUUGAUAGGGAGAUUAAUAGCAUUAAACUAUCUAUUUUACGAUGGGUUAACUGAAAAAUUUACUUGAUUUCACGUUAGCAUUCUAUAGUAAAAAUAGAAAUGAUUUAUACCGAUUAUAUUAAAAUCUUGAGAAGCGAAGGUGAUUCACAGACAAACAGACAUAACUCUAACAUAUUUUUAAUAGAUCACGCAUUUAACGAUCCAUUUUAAUUUUUCUUAUUUGGUAGUUCCGCCGGUUGCUUGCAUAGUCAAUGCUGCGUUGAAGUUUACACACUACCGCCAACUGUUGAGCGUACUUCCCACGACAGUGUUCUCAACAAAUGGUGGUAGUGGUUUAUUGAUGAUGUUUUACAGUGAAACAUAUUCAAUGAGUUUUGACUGUGGUAGUUCUACUGUUCAUCCACUUAUUUCUGUAUACCAAAGAUGAGGACUAUUUCCAAAGCACGACCGCAUUUUUGACAUAGGACUACGAGAUUGUUUUUGUUGCUCGAUUUAAUAAUAAUUUCAAAAUUAUUGAUUUUUAAAUUUAAUGCCAAAAUCAACAUAUAUUUCAAUAUUAAAAAAAUUCCCAAUUAAUUUAUUUAUUAAGGCUCAAUUGCAACACAGAACUAACUAUCGUCGAGCCAAACAAAACUUCAAAACCAUUGCAAUAAAAUUGGGCGUUACCGCCGCUGCACGAUGCAAACGCCAAAUAAGCGCGCAGAGCUUUUUAUUCGGCAGCGCUUACAUAAAAUUCACAUGUGCUUGCGGCGGUAAGGCGCUCGCAUGAUACCUGUACAUCCAUACCGGAACCGGAAGUAAAUAUUGUGUCUGCGGGAUUCUAUGUUCGUUUUUGUUAGAAUCACAUAAUGUUACGAUAGAGAUUUUCACGCCCGGUUGUAUUGGUGCGCUGUGAGAAACUGUGGUAGUGAAAAUCCGAGGAAAAUACAUAACAAACGGCUGUCAAAUUCAUUUAGACAGAUCGAAUUACAUACAUUUUGAGGUUAGUUCGAGGAAAAUAAUAAACAACUUUACACAGUGAUAGAUCUUCGUUAGUGUGCGUGCUUUAAACGUCACUAAUCUCUAUAAGGAGCAUAAUACAAAAACGCAAACAUACACGGCGAAUGAGAACGACCCAAAUUUGAGUUUAGUUCACUCAUAAUCGCCAAAAUUGCAGGAACUCAUCGAUGAGUUAAUUUGCCUCAAGUUUUCCCAGGUUUUUCCAGGAUUUUACAGGGAAAAAUACCCGAAUUUGAGAAAAGUAAAGAUUGGAUUCACUCAGUCUAUUGGUACUACUCCGAGACUGAAUAAAAUUUUCGUCAAUUUCCUCAUUUUCCGGUAUAUUUUUUAGGUUUUCCACAGGAAACCAUGAGACAAAUUUUACUCAUCGCUGAGUUCCUGCACUUUUGGCGAUUAUGAGUGAACUAAACUCAAAUUUAGGUCGUUCUCAUUCACUACACAUGUUUACUUCAGUUACCGUGGGGACGUAAUUUGUGAUUAGUAUCGGUCCCUUUCAAAUUGUAUCAUUAUUUAUGUACGGUCCUUAUAUUUGAAAAUACGAUUGACAUUCAUCUACUGAUGGCCGAUUUUUAUUCGAAUAAUCGAUCAAUCGAUUAACGAACCGAAAAGUAAAAUAUUUGUAAUCGGUUAUAUCAGAGUUGAGAAUAGAAGAGUUGCGCAGACUGAAAACAAAAUCUACAUAUCGAACUGUCAAACCGUCUACCUAUCGAGCAUAGUAGACAAACUGACUCUGUUGCGUAGGAAGUAUUGUCAUCGAAACUAGAGGAAACUUUCACAACCCAGGUGAAGUCAUCCGAGGUGUAAACAAAAACAAAGGUUGCCAAAAUAAUAAAAAUGUCCAUUGAUCGACAUCAGUGUUACGAGCUUCACUCUGUGUAACUCUUCUAUUAUUAACUCGGGGUUAUAUCAUGCCGAUAUAAGCAUUAACUUCUCCAGAUAAUCAUCACCCAUCGUUUCAAACAUGUGCUGCACUUUCAUUGGUGGAAAAAUUGCAGCACAGCGAACAAAAAAUGAUCGAUUAGUUCUUAAAAAAUGAAAGAUUAGUUGUAAAUGGGACAUCUCUGAUAUUGGUGUGAUUGUUUUGAUAAAAAAGAGCGCAACAUUUCAUCUCUACGGAGGGGCAGCAAAACCACUAAACUACCUUGCCUACGGGGUAACAUUGGAUGAAAGGAACCGUGAAAGUGGAGACUAAAAUUGGGUUCUUUAGGGGUUUUAAGGUAAUUGGAUAUUCGUAAUCUGCAUCACAAAUGGAACCGAAAUCCAAAAUUUCAUCAAUUUUGGAGCACUUGAACUGUUUGAAAUAAGUGUGAUUACAUAAGCAAAACUCACCAUCUUAGCGCCCCUCAGUGGUACUUUGUAUGGGAGUGAGCUGUCAAUUUGUUAGUUUUGUGUCAAACAGCGCAUAAAUUUAAAUUUUUGAAGACCUUGUGUCAAUGGCGGCCUGAUUUUAACGAGAAUUACUCAUGAGUAAAACAAGUAGUCACAACAUUUUUUGAUUUUAUUGUUCCGAAAAACAUGUUUUUAUGUGAUAUGAGCAUUUAGAACCAUGGUCCUAAAGUAAACAUACAUCAAUAUAUUACUACUAAUUCCUGUUCAUUCUUGCUCACUUGGACUGGACUUGGAGAUGCGUGGACUGAAAUUGAUCAAAUUUCAAAUGUGAACACAGUAUUGCCAAUAGCACGCUGUGGCUAUCAGUUGCGUCGAAUUAUUUUCUCUGAAACGGCAAUAACAAUUGGGUAGAGUGCGCCGUGCAUGUACUGACUGUGUAUAAAGCCUCGGCUUCGUGCAACACUGGCCAGUGGCACAUCUCAAAAUCUGACCUUUUUCAUUUUAUCACCUUGACAUUAGGCGAUUACCGGUUUUUAUAGUAGCGGUAUAGUAGGUCCUGAUUCGAAACGAAAACAUUUUAAAUGACAGAAAAUUUCAUCGAAUCAACAAUGUUUAGGAAUUGGAAAAAUUAUAAA
This is a long non-coding RNA of Ochlerotatus camptorhynchus, 5540 nucleotides long. RefSeq lists it as uncharacterized. NCBI's taxonomy places the organism in Eukaryota, Metazoa, Arthropoda, Insecta, Diptera, Culicidae. The record is from RefSeq and is a predicted model, not a curated record. The transcript has 2 exons.